Molecule: long non-coding RNA, 2168 nt
Organism: Oncorhynchus tshawytscha (Chinook salmon)
Lineage: Eukaryota; Metazoa; Chordata; Actinopteri; Salmoniformes; Salmonidae
Exons: 4
Source: RefSeq, a predicted model, not a curated record
GACCCCAGUAAUUGUAACAAAAUGAACGACUGAAACAGACAGAAUUUACAGAAACCUCAUACAGGCUCUAGUGCUCCGAUGUCGGUCUGUUCCAGUGCCGUUUGACAGGGCAGGUGUUUCUGAUGGAGGGGGAGGUGCUGUACAAGGCUGUCCAAUGGGACGAGAAUCUCCUGCAUUCUACAGGCCGGACUCAUGCAGGAGCCCUGUUCAGACCUUCAGGGGUCUGUCCGUCAGCUACACCUCCCACACUGUGACAUUCCCUCUGGAGAUGGUCUUGGUUCCCUGUCUGUGGCCCAUGUGACUGGUGACAGUGUGGAGGUUUUAUCGCCGCUGAGGGUGACUGACACACACACACAGUGGUGAAACACCAGCAACCUCUCCUUAUGGGGCCUUGUCAGAAAGUACAUACGGGACGCCCUGCUCUCGAUCAAGGGGCAGGUGUUGCCUUUCCGAUCACUCCAAUCAGUUAUCAAUGUGAUCGUCCUGCCAUCAUGUGCCACUUGAACAGGUUGAAGCGGCAACAGACAGGGAACACUUGCGUACAGCUCUGUUUCGGACUGCAUUCUCACUCGAGGGGAAACAUACAGUCUGAAGACUGAAGAGGAUAACCGCCAAGGUAGACUCUGACAGGUGUUGCAUGCUAAUAAUGUCACAUCUUGAUCAGAGUAACAGCUGUACGCUGAUGCUACAUACUGGAUAUUCCAUGACAAUAAUUACCUCAUGUUAAGUGCACUUUUCUAAAUGGUCACUCAUUCUGUAAGGUGCGUAGAUAUGCAUGCGCAGCUAUGGAAGAUGACUAAAUAGUCAAGUUCAAAUCAGCUGCAUCUAUUACCUGCCUCUAUGUAGUCUCUAUAGACAGACGGGUUGCCUCACACGAUGUACCAAUGUUCCAAUAUCCGCGUCUGUACAAGUACCUGUGUUAAUAGGGACAGAGAGGAGGGGUCGGAAAUGGGAUGUGCGUUAUCGCCUUAUCUGGUGACGUCAACGUCGUAUCUGCUUUUGCCCUAGCUUUAAACAUCCCCGCCAGACACAAAGUACUAGCUAGCUAGCAAGAUGGAGAACGCAGAGGUUAUUUUUAAUGAGUGCAAGUGUCAAGUUCGCGUCAUCUACCUUCACUAAAACCACUGCAAAGGUUUUUCCUGCAAACUUUGGUUUUGAAUCUCAAUGUUCUGGCAUGUCUGCUUUCAGGGUACGGAAAGAGUUAGAUUUUUCAGGCUUGGCCCUCCUACCCAAACUCGUGAUUUUGGUGGGAGAGUUGUCUGUCUAAAGAGGACCCUCCCCUUUCAAAAUGUCUAAGAGAAUCAGACAUCCCCCCCCCCUGGGAUUUCCAAGACUGGUCACUGAGCAAAAUGACAUCAAAUUAGUAUUAUGACAUUGUAUGCAGUAGGCUAGAUGUUAGCAAGAGAGCUUCUUAAAUUGAUGGCAAGUUUUUCUAAAUAAUCUCACAAACUAAACCAAUAAGCAUUUGUCUAAUGAUCUAGAUGAGCGGGGGACUGAUUCCAAGUUCAAGACGUUCCAAUGCUGCAGGUUUUCGUGUAGCACGUGCCCAGAACGACUUAUGGACAUUUACAAAAUGUGAAAAGGCAUUCUGUGGGGUGGGGAAAAUAGGAUGCUAAGCUGCUGCCGUUAUGUCAUUUGAUCUAGUUGACAUUAUUUUGCUCUAUAGUUUGUAUCUCAAUUGCAGAAUGUACUGCAGAAAAUACAAGUUGGUGAAGAAUCCAUGAACCAUUUCACUUUCCCCCCCCCCCCAUCAUUGUUCUAUAUGACUGCCACUACGUUCCAAACUACCAUACAACCUUUUCAGGUGUUGCUGGAUGCAGAUACAAAGGGUAUGGAGCUAAUAAGGCUUCUGAAAAGAGGGCUUGAUAGAGAGGUGUGGACGAAGGUGUGGACCGGGCUUGUGUGUCUGCCAGGUAAAACCUUGAAGUUAGUCUGUCAACAAGGUGUAUCCAAAUCUGAUUCAUGCCACUGUUUGCCAGGUACUCCCUCUGCCCCAGGUCUAUAUCCAACCUCGUUUAGAGGGGAAGGAUGAAACCCAGCAGGGUUACAGACUUCAAGGACGGACCUCUUGUAUUUGAGAAGGGAGUCCGUAAAUCCGUCCAACCACCAUUCCCACACAGGUGAAUAUGUAUUACACACAGGUGAAUACGUCUUCAUUUUUCUCCGAC